This 344-nucleotide long non-coding RNA is filed under the name Cucumis sativus (cucumber). Its description in RNAcentral is "long non-coding RNA (CSAT_LNC003122)". Lineage: Eukaryota; Viridiplantae; Streptophyta; Magnoliopsida; Cucurbitales; Cucurbitaceae. The record is from RNAcentral.
CCCUCUCUCACGCGUGCGACACCCCUCUCUCCAUCUUUUUCUUCUUCUCUUUCCUGUACCCUAACCCAGCCGACCAUCAUCUUCUCCCCUUCCCUUGCCGUUCAGAUCCAUGGCCUCCGCCCACCGCCGCGUGACCCUCUGCCCAGCCCCGCCGCGUGACCUCUGUCUCCGUCGAAGCCAAGUCCAGCCGUCGUCCAUUCCUUUCCUCUCUUCUUCUCCGUUCGUGAAGCCCAGUCGCCGCGUCAGAUCGUCGAUCGAUUUUGAGGCAGCGCGCACGCCUCCUUCUAGCCGCGCGUUUCCUCUUCUUCCAGCAACGUGUUUUUUCUUCUAACCGCGAUUCACAA